UUUUUAAGACCCAGAUACCCUCAAGAACCUACACCUACACACAAAGGGAGACUAAAAAAAAUAAGAGGGGCUGCGCAGCUUUUAACAGAACCCCCAGACUUCAUCUUCUUCGAUCCCCACCCAAACGACCCCUCAAUUCCUCCUCUCCUCACCAGCGGCGAACUCGCCGUUACACCAAAACAUAGGACCCAACUGCUUCUUCUUCAAGAGUGCGAACAGUACUCGACCUCGAACCCAAACGACCUCCUUCGUUCAAGUUUCAGUCCACACUGAGGGACCAAGGAAGUGAGCGGACGAGUUUACUCAUUCUAAUUUCAGAUUUGAAUCCUUUGAUUUACAUGUCAAAUUCUGGCUCAUUCUUCUGAUUUCUGAUUUUUUAAAAAUCGUGGAAUUAAAUCGAGUUUGAGCUAGUCGAUUUCAGUCGAAGUUCUGUUUUGUUGUUGAUCGAAUACUGUUGGUUCCGAGUGAGUUCUCCGAUUGGAGAUUUCUGCUGCCGAUCGAGUUUCGUUGUUGGUUUGCGUUACCGGCCUGAUUCUGCUGUUGUAUCAUCCGGCUUGUCUGAGUUUUUGCUAGUCAAUACAUUGAAGAAAAUCCAUUUGAAGGUCCGUUUUACUUGUUUCAUUGAGUGUUUGGAUCUGCUCCUAUUCUAGACGACUAAUUUGAUGCUUGGAUGGUUGUUAUUUCAAAUUUUCUUUACUGUGUUCUCUUAACUGAUUCAUGAGAUUGGUUUGAGUAAGAUGAGUUAAAAUUAGUAUUAACCUCUGGGAUUGCAUUCAAUUUUCGAACCAAGUUUAAAAAUCAGUAUUAACUUCUUUUAUUGCAUUUCAAUUUUCGAACCAAGUUAUGUUCCAUUGAUUGAGUUUUCCUGACAUUUUGUUCACCCUUAACUUGAUCUCUUAGCUUGAAUAGUUUUAGUUUUGACUAUAUUUCAGAUCUUAUUUUAGUUGAUCUCUCUAGCUAUUUUGUUGGUCAUAGUUCAUUAGUUAAAUUAGUACAGGUGUUGGAUAGUUUUGUUUAACGUGAAUGCAAUUUGAAGAUGAAGCAUAUGCUGUUGAUUUUUUGAAACAUGGACCGUUCUCACGUCAGUUUAUUUGGCUUCAUAUUUUGGAUUUAAUAACUCAUUCCAUAAUUUGGUUUCUGUUUCUUUUAGUUUUAGUGGUAAGGUAAGUAUAAUUAAGUACAUAUUCCCUUUUCUGUUACGUUAGAUUUAGGCGAAUUACAUGGAUAUGGUUUGUUUGGCCAGGGACAUUGUUGAUGUAGUAGUCUCAGUUCUUGUAGCAUUUGGGAGAGGAGCAAUGCUUCUGGUUCUUGUCCUCGUUUCAAUCACAUGGCC
RNAcentral lists this long non-coding RNA (1333 nucleotides) under Nicotiana benthamiana. RNAcentral describes it as "long non-coding RNA (NBEN_LNC042342)". The record is from RNAcentral. Lineage: Eukaryota; Viridiplantae; Streptophyta; Magnoliopsida; Solanales; Solanaceae.